Cyprinus carpio (common carp) is the source of this 678-nucleotide long non-coding RNA. RefSeq lists it as uncharacterized. NCBI's taxonomy places the organism in Eukaryota, Metazoa, Chordata, Actinopteri, Cypriniformes, Cyprinidae. The record is from RefSeq and is a predicted model, not a curated record. The transcript has 2 exons.
GUGGUAUUGCCGACCCGAGAGUCGAACUCAAACUCUCUAACCAUUAGGCCACAACUGUGCUUGAUUGGUUCUGCUUUCUUGCGAUAAUUUCUUUAAUUUUAUUCAUCAGUGAUUCAUUUUACUCCCUAACAGACUAAAGAGCCAACUGAUACUGGGUCUCUGGUGCUCAGAGGACUUUCUGUCAUCCAUGGCCACAAACUUACAGAUUUCUACAAAGUAUGCUUUGAUUCUGUUGACAUUGGAAUCCUCCUCAUUGAGCAAGAAAGCUCUCAUCUUCUCUCCAUCUCAAUCCAGCCUCAUUGAAGAUCAUCAUUGAAGGAGAAGUUGUGACUGACAAUAUUGACGACUUGCCAAAAGCUAUGUGCAUUCUGUAUGGACUUGCAUACACACUGCAUCUCACUUGCCCCACUUACCACCGCUCGUCUCCUCACUUGCUCUCCCUUCGUAGACCUCGCUGAACCACGCCUCCCCCGCCACAUGCAUAUCCAGGCAUUCACAAGGGAUAUAGUAUAUGUUGUUGAAUACUGUGUGUUCAUGUUUUUUCUAUAAACUAGAUACAAUUGUUAGUAAGCGCUUUCAAAGCUUAUUUUUACUUGUCCUGUGGCUGACAAGUUUAAUGCAUUGUCAUGUUACCAUUUCUUUGGUAAACAAUAAAAAAAAAACAUUUGUGCAUUGAAA